GAUGCGAUGCUAAAGACCAACGUUCUGGAUCUCACUGGAGCCUCUGGAUUGCUUUCUCAGCUCCACCCCAAAACAUUUGAUUUUGAUACGGCCAGUUUUGGGUACAUCGGUCUUCCGGGUCGGCAUCAAAUGGGCUUAAUCGCCCAAGACGUGCAACCAGUUCUUCCCGAUCUGGUGCAUUCAUCUAUACAUCCUACGGAGUACGAUUCGCUGGGCAACGUGUUGCACCCGGAAGUGCCUCACCUUGGCUUGGAAUAUAUGCAGUUCAUCCCUCUGCUCAUUGCCGGCUGGCAGGAACAGCAAGCGAUAAUUACUCAGCAACAGCAGCAACUCGACCAGAUGCAGCUCCAAAUGACGCUGCUACAACAGCAGGUCAACAACUGCUGU
This 387-nucleotide unclassified non-coding RNA is filed under the name uncultured bacterium. RNAcentral's name for it is "contains 16S-23S intergenic spacer region". The record is from RNAcentral.